GAUGAACGCUGGCGGCGUGCCUAACACAUGCAAGUCGAGCGAACAGAUAAGGAGCUUGCUCCUUUGACGUACGCGGCGGACGUGUGAGUAAACCGUGGGUAACCUCCCUAUUAGCCUGGGUUAACUUCGGGAAUCCGGAGCUAAAACGGGAUAAAAUUUCGAACCGCAUUAUUCGAUCGUGUAAGAUGGUUUUGCUAUCACUUAUAGAUGGACCUGCGCUGUAGUCGCUAGUUCGUAAGGUAACGGCUUACCCAGACGACGAUAGGUAUCCGCCCUGAGAGGGUGAGCGGCCACACUGGAACGGAGAAACGGUCCGGACUCCUACGGGAGGCAGCAGUAGGGAAUCUUCCGCAAUGGGCGAAAUCCUGACGGAGCAACGCCGCGUGAGUGAUGAAGGUCGUCGGAUCGUAAAACUCUGUUAUUAGGGAAGAACAUACGUGUAAGUAACUGUGCACGUCUUGACGGUACCUAAUCAGAAAGCCACGGCUAACUACGUG
This 497-nucleotide ribosomal RNA is filed under the name uncultured bacterium. RNAcentral describes it as "partial 16S ribosomal RNA". It matches the Rfam family "Bacterial small subunit ribosomal RNA", at positions 28 to 507 of the family's 1533-position model. The record is from RNAcentral.